ACAUCACAGAGAUCUUCAAUUAAAAUAGAGCAGAUCCGGCCAUCACUAUUCCUUCUACUGCUCUUUUGCUUUAGAGAACGCUUGAAUUACAGAAUGCGUGUAAGGCUUUCUUGUUCAAGGUCCAGCGGUCAAACCUUGCACAAUAGCAACAGAGGCAAUAGUUCCAUCGCCAGCCUAAUCCUUGGACUCGCCAAUGUUCUCCACGAGUAGGAAAUCAACCUAAAAAAUAAGAAUGAGUUGGAAAAACUGUUUAUGGCCGUAAAGAACUUGAAAAUGAGAAAUGAUUAAGAAUGAGUGACUAAACAUUUUAAUCGACUAAACAUAGAAAACUUAAAACCUAAUAUUGAAGUGCUCUGGAAGAAUGUGCAAUUGCACGAGCUGGUGACAACUGACUUUACUGCAAAGGCUCUUUCAAACCCUUGGAGAUGAUACUCUACAUACCAUGAUAACCUGAUAACACAAAGAAAAACAAUGAAUAAUAAAGGAUAUUUUGACAACGCAAAUUUGUGCAAAUUAUUAAGUGUGGUUACCUGCAUAAUAGUAUCAACACCAAAUUCCUGCCUCCAUUGACGUAUAUGAUAAUAUUAGCACAAUUCAAUAUGUUUAUAUUGGAUAAAUGAUUCCAAGAAUGAAACAAGACAGAAAUGAUGAUCUCAGCACCUUAACAUCAGGCAAUAAUAAUCAUCAUGUCUUUCAGGCAGCUGUCCUUCCUCAAUUGAAACAGAGCAGACCCGACCAUCACUUCCUUCUUCAAAGUCCAGCAACAAAACUCUGCACAAUAACCAUAGUGAUAAUCCUUGGUUACCCCAAUGUUCUCUAUAGAGUCUUCAAAGUCAACCUAAAAAUGAAAUAAAGAUGCAAUACAGGUGGAAAUGGAAGUUCUAUAAAUUAAAUAAAAUAAAAAUGUAAUGCUUAUUUUGGAUGGUAAAAGUCAACUAAUUAAUUAAUGAUUUAUUUUUUUUAAUUUAAACCACCAAGUGGUGGGGGGUUAGGAAAGACCCCUACUUGUGAUAUAAAUCAAUAAUGAAGAAGUACAUAGGAAGGGGAUAUAAACCAAAACCUCCUCAAGUAAAUGCAAACACAUAAGAAUGAAGGCAAGAGAAAAAACAACAACUGAAAGAAUAGAACGAGUAAUCCUAUUGCCUGAUAUGAGGAAUCUCCUUAGUGUCCAAAUGAAGAAUGCUAGAUAGGCCAGCGAGAAGAUCCCGAAAAGACAAAAAAACAUCAGUUAACUCGAUGAGUGUAAGCCUAAUUAGCCAGAAAAUCAACAGCAUAAGUAGGUGGAGUCUGACUCUACUUUUAGCACGGAGUGUCCAAGCUGAACUGCAAUAUCUAAUCCCUCAUAAACAACCAUAAGCUCAACAUAAAUUAUUGGUUGGUAACCAAGGAAAGAUCCAAAAGCAGCCAAAACCUGCCCCUGAUGAUCACAGAGAAUACCACCCGAAGAAGCCAUCCCGGGAUUGCCCCCGAGCAACCAUCCACGGUUAGUUUAACAAACCCCAAAGGCAACCGAAACCAAGAGACUAAGUGAAUUGGCCUUUUUGGUGGUGUGAUUAUUCGCAAACCCUCUGUAAUCGUAGAAUCCAACACUCCUUGAAGCUGGGAAGUUUUGAAACCAAAAACAGAACUAGCAAGCCCAAGGUCCAAUCCCACCUGGUGGACAAUUGCAAUGAGAAAUAUUGUGAAUCAAAUUUGAAAGCAUUACGAGCCUUCCAAAUAUACCAUAAGAUAAAAGAGGGUAGGAGAACUUGAAGAUGGCUCCGAAAAAGGGUGCACCAUCACCAAUGAAGAAGCAGAGCAUGAGGGGUCGGAAACACAACUACAUGCAUACCUAGAAUCCGUAAAAAAUAAUCCCAAACUAACCUAAUCUGCGGGCAAGCAGGGAAUAAAUGACGAGCAGUCUCAGCCACCUGACCACAAAUGCGUCAAGAAACCAUGUAAAAACCCCUUGAACAUAAGGCGUCAUCAGUAGCCAAAAAUCCAUGCAACAUCCGCUAGAGAAAGAAGGAAAUCAGAGAAGGGGUGAGCCGCUGCCAAAUAAGAGAAAAGACCUUAAUUCUUAGUUUAGUGCAACGCACAAGCUCCCACGUUGAUCGUAACUAAAAAGUGCCAUCGGUAAUGAGAUCCCACCUAAUCAAGUGUGGCUCCUCCCUAGAAAUAGGAACUAAAAGAAUCUAUGCCAUGAUAGAGAGGGUAACACAUCCUGGAGUUUACCUUGAUCCCAGACUGUACCCUGCUAGUAAAAAGAAACUGGAACCAUAGAAGCCGCUGCAGGGUUAUAAAGUGCUAAAGGAUAAGACCCUAGUCAACAAUCAUACCAGAAGCUGCACUCCCCCCGGUCUAUCAACCAAUGCACAUGGGGCCCUACAAUACACUGAAUCAAAUAGAGGCAUCUCUAAAGAGGAAAAGCAAGAUAACGAAACUGAACUAGGCUCAGAUGUGUGGCUAUACAAUACUUAGACUUCAUAUAUGAAGCCCAUAGUGAACUUUGCUCUUGAAAGCGCCACCAAAGUUUAAGUUCUAAAGCCUUAACCAUAUCAUUAGAAGACCGAAUACCCAAACCACCCUCGUCUACCAGGUAACAAACCGUCGUGCAUCUACAUCAGUGAAUCCGACGCUUUGUAUCUGAAUCUCCCUAUAAGAAUCGUUUAAAAAUUCUAUCUAAGCGGUGGAUCACAACAUAUGGAGGGCUAAGAACGUCAAACAAAUGCAUCAUAAUAGAAGAUAGAACAUGGCGAAUAAGCAUAAAUUUCCCUCCAAAAGAGAACAAUCGAUUGGCUCACGCUGAGAUUCUAUUCCUGACAUUCUGAACCAUAUCGUCAAAAAGAGAAAUCUAACGACAACCCUUAAAGACAGGGCACCCAAGAUAAGUAAGCAGAAGUUUAUGUCUCUGAAAACCAGUAACUGAAUGGACAAUAGUCUGGCGCGAAGCAGUAGCUGAGUCCCCAAUAUAAAAACUAUUGUUGUCCUGAUUGAUACACUAUCCAGAAAUAGUCUUAUAGUGGUGGAGGAAAUUUGAAAGACGCUGCAAACUGGUCCUACUCCCAUUAACAAAGAUAAAAAUAUCAUCUGCAAAGCUCAGAUGAGACUGUCAUAAGGGUCGAGGUUCUAUAUGCCAUGGAAGGAUACUGAGAAUAAAGGGAAUCUAGACUUCUGGAGAGAAACUUAUCUGUAAUAAUAAAAAGACAUGAGGAUAUAGGAUCGCCUUGUCACAGGCCUCCAUGAGAUUGAAAGAAUCCAUGGCAAGAAUCAUUGACCAGAAUAGAGUACCAUGGACCAGAGAUGGCUCGAUAAAUGAGGGAAAUCCAUCGCUUUGAAAAACCAAGGCUCCGAACCGUCAAAAGAAUGAACGAUCAUGACAUCCUAUCAUAAGCCUUAGCCAUAUCUAGUUUAGAAACAACAUUAUUCCCAUGGGUCCUCCUAUUUAAAUCAUGAACAAGCUCCUACACCAACAGAAUAUUAUCAUGGAUUACCCUACCUGGAUCAAAGCUACUCUGUGAAAGAGAGAUAAUCUGAGGCAGAAUGUGCGAGAGUCAUGUAACUAGUAACUUCGUAACGAUUUUGCUACUGAUGUUGCAUAGGCUAAUAGGUCUGAAGUUUGCCCGUGUUAAUGGAGAAGUCUUCUUCGGUAGAAGGACCAGAAGUGUAAUCUAAAAGCCUCGUGGUAUAGCUGAACUUGAGAAAAAAUCGAUCACAAUAGCCAUCAAAUCACAACAAAUAAUUUCCCAACAAAUUUGAUAAAAUCUGCUACAGAAACCAACAGGCCCAGGCGCACUUAAAGGAUCUAUAGAGAAUACAACUUGGCAAACCUCCUCUAUGUUAUGAACUCUACAUAGCUCCACAUCCUCCUCAUCUGAAACUAAAGAUGGAAUAUCAUCAAAGUCUGAUAAUUGAAACUAGCUGGUACCUCUAGAAAGCAAAUCUUGUUAGAAAUGAAUAGUCAAAGCAACAAUAUCCAUAGAAUUAGCAUCCUGAAUCCUGUGAAUAAAACACUGUUGACACUUCUUUCUAACCACAGCAUGAUAGAAACGAGUGUUCGAAUCCCUCUCUCGGACCCAUCGAAUACCUAACUGCAGUCUAAGAAAAGUCUCAUCACUGGAUAAAGCAUGUAGUAAUCUCGCUCUAGCCUAAGAAAAAAAAAUGGUUCUAUCCUCUGCCGACGCAGACAUAUAAAAAAGGAGCUCCCGAUGAGCCACUUCCACUUCAGCCGCUCUAACUCUCUGAAAGACAUCUCUGAAAACGUCUUUGUUCCAAGACUUUAAACAAAGUUUCAACCAAACCAACUUCUUCUGAAAGGCCCGCAUCCCUCUACCUAUCAUUGGUGCUGACUAGGAAUGCCUUACCAUGUCAAAAAAGCUUGAAUGUGUGAUCUAAGAAUGAAGGAACUUAAAUCUUGACUGUCCCCUAACCCACUGUCAAUCAAGAGAUAGAAGGAGGGGAGCGUGGUCUGAUACAGUACGAUUCAUAUGAGUAGCCCUGAAGACUGUAAAAAGACUAGACCAUUGUAAGUUGCAGACCACCCAAUCCAGAGUCGCCAAGUAUGCCCAUUAAUCCAAGUGAAUGAGCUACCUAAAAAGCCAACAUCCUCCAAACUACAGUCUAGUACAGCCAAAUUAAAGGCAUCUAUAACGACUUGAGUCUGGUUAUGUCCACCAGAGAUCUCAGAUAAAGACUUAACAACAUUAAAGUCUCCCCCAACCAUCCAAGGACCAUCCAUACCAUCAGUAAAAGACACAACAGCAUCCCAUAACUGUUCUCUUACAGAGAUGAAUAACUGGCAUAAACAAGUGAGAUAAAUACAAUAUCAGGAAGAAAUUAGUGACUGGCCCGAUAGUGCAGAACCUAUCCCACAUCCUGAAUAACCUCCAAUGUAAAAGAAGCCAACCAGAAAACCCAAAUCUUCCCAGAAGAAGAGGAAAUAACUGAUUCUAUUCCUAGUCGAUUCCGAGUGGACUCAAGUUUGUCUAAAUGAAGAAAAUGCUCCAACACACAAACUAAGGACAAAUAGUGCAUGUGAAUAAGUUUCUUCAAGCAUCGAACUGCAGGGGCUUUACCGAUGCCCCGUAUAUUCCACAUAAUGGAAUUAAUCAUCUAAGUAAAUAGAAGCGAGAAUUGUCCCCUUAAUUAUUUAAUAACUCAGGUAUUUAUUAUCAAGUACAUCAUCUUAUUCAACAUUUUGGCUAUAUAUAAAGAUUAUAAUUUCUAACAGUUGUUUCGGAUUCUUGUGUACUCAGGUUAAUAGGGCAAAUGUCAGAAUGAAGACUGUUCAGUUUAACCGGUUUAGCAAGGAUGAUAUCGGUGAAGAAGAUUAUUGGCAGGCCAAAUAGAGCCCUCCAUUUUGAGAAAUAUCAUCCGCAAAUUUGAAUUGUUGAGCAUGUGAAGUUAACCUUCUUAGUGAGUGAGUAAUUAAGCAUAUAUCAGCGAUUUUGGUCGUCAGUGAAUGUUUUCAUUUAAUAUUAAUACACUGUCGUUUCUUAGUAAAUUCUCUUCAUGUCACUUCCUCCUUGUCGUUCUUAUGGAAAUACCUUCCUUUUUGACCAGUAGCGGCUCGACCUCUAGGCAACUUAGGCGAUUGCCUAGGGCCCCGCUUUACAUGAAGGCCCCACGAGAUGAUUAUUUUGUAUGUAAAAGGGGAAAAUGGAUUUAAAAGUCAUUAUUAUUCAUUUAAUUUAUUAUUAUUUUGUAAUUAUCUUUUCCUAAAUAAACUAUCAAAUUCCUAUAAAGUUUAUUUAAUGUAGUACUUAGUAGUUUUAAUUUCUACAAAACCGAUAAAUUAAUAGUUUCAAUUCUACAAAUUCUCUAUUUCAUUGUUAGAAUUAAUAUAUUAUAUUUUAAAUGUUUUACAUUCAUUUUAAACCUCUAUAAAAGCCCCACAUUUGAUUACUUAUCCAUUAAAUUUUUCCUCCAACAAUCAAGAUAUGAUAUGUUCUCAUCUCAAAUUUCAGAUUUUAUCUUUUUAUUAUUCGCUCAAUUAGUUGUGUUAUUUAUUUGUUCUUAUUUCUUUUUAAUAUAUUCUUUUAUUCAUCUACUUUUUUUUGUGUACUUGUUUUAUCUAUUUUAAAAUAAAACCAUAUCGAAAAACUUUAAAGAAUAGAAGAAUAGAAAAAUUAGUUUAAUUUAGAAAAUGAGUAGUAAAAAAGAUAUAAUUUGAGUUAAAAAAAAUAAGUGGAAAUAUUAUAAUUGAAUUAAAAUUUAAUGCAUUAGCAACAUAAAUUUCAUGGAUUAUCAAUAGUAGAAUAGAAUUUUAUUUAAUAAUUUUAAAUUUUAGAGUGUUUAAAGAAUUGAUUUUCAAUAAAUAAUAUAUAUAUAUAUAUAAUCUUAAAUUUUAAGAAAAACUAAUUAAAAUCAUUUGCCUAAGACCCUAAAUAUAGUUGAGCCGGCCUUGUUUUUGACAUGCAAAAUACAUUACAAAAGCUCCCAAACAAUAUAUUUGAACGAAGUUACCCUUUUCGAGAAUUUUGACUCCCAAACAAGCCUGCAGAGUGGUGUAUGGUGGGAUUAGCUGCAGGAGCAGUGCAAGAUUCUUCGUCAAGCUAUCUGGCUAGUAAAAAGACUGUUGCCAAACCUCCUUUUCAUUCCUUUGUUCACUUAUUCGUUAUAAAUAAACUUAGAAGAUUGUUCUGUUAACUAUCUAAGCCAGUGUAACAUUUGUUAAAUUUGGGCCAUCUUGAAUGUCUGACAGGUUGUCUGUGACAAUCCCAGCUGUAAGUACUAAUGCAUUUGGGCCAUCUUUAAUGCACUUGUGCUUUCAUUGAACUGUAUGCAAGCCUGAGAUAUCAGCUAUUGCGUGGAUUUGAUAGAGCGGUCACCAACCAAUUUGAAGUUAUUGGAGUAGCUCAAUGGUCUCAAGCACGGCUUUGAGGUCUCUCCCUGUCUCUUUUACGUAUUUGUCUAUUGAUCGACAUCUCUAUAUAUACAUGAAUAGACCAAAUUACUCUUGCUUUAAUGUUUUGUUUGUUGAACUUCGACUGGGGAAUUUGUUUAUUUGUCUUAUGUGAUGUCAAUGUGGUUCCCAUUGAAGUGUAUAGAUCUAUCACCUCAAAUUCUGAUUUCAAUUUUCCUUAAUCAACUAGCAUCCUUUCCAAGUCCAGAUAAUUACCAUUUCUCUUAUUUUACAGUUAAAUAUGUAAGAAUAGUUUUAAAUUUACAGAAUUCUGAUAUAGUUCUCUAAGGAAAUGGGAGUGGUGAAUAUGGUUCCAUCUUUUUAACAGGCUUAAUAGGCCCAUUUGUUGAGCCACAGAAUUCUGAUUGCGGUCUAAAUUCUUCUUUACUGUCUAUAUGUGUUGGAGUUUGUCUAUUGUCCAACUUCUCGAAGGGAUUCCAUGCAGGGUUUUGACUGUCCAAUUAGGAGAAAGAUCAACGGAUGACCUUUUGAAGAAGGCUUACACAAGAGGCCAUCUCAGAAUGUCAUGGCUCAGCUCAAAAGUCCCCAGGUGGUUGAUACCAAAGAAUGCCAUUGUUUCUGGGCCUGGGCUCCUUGGCGUCAAACAAGAUAAUGUUGACUCUAUUGAAGGGCUUUUGACCGCAAGUUUCCAUUUGAAGUAGCCGGUAUUCUUUACAGACUAAUUAUCCAAUGAUUAUUUUUUACAAAAAAAUAUCAUAACUUUAAUUAAUUGAUCAUACUCAACUUAGGUCUUGUUUGAUAUUACUAGUUGUUGUGAAAAAAAAAAAAAAAUUGAAAGCUGAAAUGUGUAGUAAAUGUAUGACUUUUAGAUAAUAAUUUUAAUAAAAUUAAUAAAGAUAUUAUAAUUUUUUUAUAAUAAAGUAUGAGAUCAAAUCAAAUUAAUUUUUAAAUCACAAUAGCAAAUGUUUAUCAAAACUGUUUAAUUACGUGGCUUAAAAAGUAUAGUUGUCCAACCUCAACAUUAUAUAAGGAUUUACCAGACUCUACCCGACUUUAGUUGUCCUUGCUCGAUCAUGCAAGUCCAUACUCGAUAUGCUUGACCCUAUAAGAUGUUACUCAACUUUAAUUAAUCUUACUCGACUUUGCAAGUUUGGCAUGUGGGAUGGAAUAUGAUAGUAUAUGAUGUGAUAGAAUAUUAUAGAAAUAGUUGUAACAAGAUUACAUUUAGUACUAUUUAAUAUUUUAUGUAAUGCAGUAUAUGGUUGAAUUAUAGGAUCCAGUUAUGGUGCAACUGCUGUACCAUACCACAGUUGCUUUCAGUCAUUGGAUCUAUUCAUCUUUAGUAAAAAUGUAAUAUCUUAAAUAAUAGUUAUCUUUAGUAAGUAUUUUUUUUGUAAUGAAUUAUACUUUUAAAAUAUAAUAAAAAAUUCUUUUACUAAACUAAUAAAAAAUAAUUCUUUGAGUUAUCUCCUAAACUACUUAGCUCAGGUGAACGAAACAGUAGUUUUACGUGUGAGCCACAUCCUUUCCACAUCAACCUCAACAUCCAAACAUGAAAUUGGACUAAAAAUAGUUCUCUCCCAUGCAUUUACGUACCCUCCUGCCACUAGGGGUGUUCGCGGAUCAGAUUUUACGGAUUGAACCUCAAUCUAUAUCCGAUCCAUGAUUUUACGGAUUAUAAAUUUUCAAUCCAAUCCAAUCCAUGGAUUGAUGAAAUUUAAUCUACAUUCAAUCCAUACAUCUGUGGAUCAGAUGUGGAUUUGACCCAAUCCACAUCCAAUCCACCAUUUUAAGGAUUGGUUUGCGGACUGAAAUUUUUUAACACUACUAGAAAAAUGGUCUUUACCGACACUUGGUUUGUGACACUUUAUUACAAAGUAUCAGUAUUUGUAUACAUAUGGGCCAUUUUCCAUGUUUAACACAUAAGUAUCACAAAUUAAUGAUACUAUGGUGUCUGAAAUUUGGACAUCAGAAAUCACUGACACUAAAGUAUUAGUAAUAAAAAUAAAAUAAUUCUAAUCAUGUAACGGAUGGAAUUUGAACCGGGGACCUCGAACAUCGGAACAUUUAAGUGACACUAAGGUAUCAGUAAAAGAAAAUAAAAUUUAAAUUUUGUUCCAAACUGAUAUUCGAUCCUAGGACUUUUCAAAGCCAAAGCUUUUAAGUUAAAAAUUGAAACCGUUCUGACUUUUUGUUAGUUAUGAUACAGAAUUAGUAGAAUAUUAUGCUUUUAAUAUGAAGAACUUGAAAUGUAUUGAGUGCGGCUGAGUGAAAAUUUUAGCGGGUUUUGGCUGAAAAUUUACUAAUAAAUAAUAUAUUUUCAGUUAGAAACGGUAUUGUUUCACUUAGAAAAAAUAAAGAUAAGUAAAACGCAUCGUUUUAUUCAACCCUAAGACCAAAAUCGAAGCUAAUUUUUUUCUAAGUCAUUCACUCAUCAGUCUUUCACCACUCGGUUCUCCUUCUCUAUCAAAGCUAAGUAAACCAAACCCUAAAAUCAUAUCCCUCACUGUAAUCAAACUUCACGUCGAUCCCAACCAAGCUCAAAGCAGAGGAAUUCAUUUCUAUCAUGAUUUGGCUCUCUCUCUCUCUCUCUCUCUCUCUUCACUGCGAUAAAUUUGUUUCUAAAGGUGCCAUUUAUUCAUUUUUUUUAUUUUUUAUUAUUAUGUUUCCAAUUUACAGUGCCUAUUUUCCUCAUGCAUGUUGUUUUGUUGCGGUUUAACUAUAGAAUGAGUUUUAAAAUUCUUAGUUUUAUAUUGUAAUCUUGAUUGUUUAUAAUUUGGGACCUGGGAAAACCUAACAGAGAGGUAAAGGUAACUGAAGUUGAAUUAUUUACUAGAUUAUUUAACUAAGAGUAGUUUUAUAAAUGCCUGAUUCAAGUCAGUUUUCUUUCGUCUCUUUCUUUAGUUGCCAUGUCACUGGACUUUGAAUUUCAUGUACACUUUAACUGGAAUUGAUGGAUACAAUGUCAAUGCAAAUUUGGGUUUUUCUCAUUUUCCCCAUUUCUCGAAAUUGCAUUUUAAAUUUUGCAUGAUGCUUUUAAUUUUGGGCCUAACUUGUUCCAUUUAAUUAGCGCUUGAUAAAGAUACAUAUUAACAAAGGGUCAAUUCAUUAAUCCUUUCCCUGUAAUGCACUUGCUAGACUUAGUAUAAAUGCAAUAUCUCACAUGCAAACCCUUCGACAACAACAAGUAUUGUCCUUAAUUUUUUUUUUAUGUGAUUUCCCUUGUACAGCUCUCUGACAUAGUAAUUAACAAUCUCUCGCUUUUGAAGAAUCACAAAAGUUUACGGUGUAACAGCUGUCUUCAUUUGGUAAUUCUUUUAAAUCACUCACUUUCUUUCAAUUUCUAUUAUCGUUGUGUUCUGAGUUUUACUUAUACUAACAUGUUUUAAAUAUUAACAUGCAUGGUUUUACUUUCGUUUUUGUUGCAUAGACUCUUCUGGAAUUAAAUUUUUUGUUCUAUAUAUACUUUUGUUUGUUCUAAUAUGAAAAUGAAAUUUUGAAAAAUGUGGAUGGGACAUGUUUUGUUGGCUUGUUGAAUGUGUACAUGUAUGCUCUGUUGGCUUGUUGAAUGUGUACAUGUAUGCUCUGUUGGCUUGUUGAAUGUGUACAUGUAUGCUCUGUUGGCUUGUUGAAUGUGUACAUGUAUGCUCUGUUGGCUUGUUGAAUGUGUACAUGUAUGCUCUGUUGGCUUGUUGAAUGUGUACAUGUAUGCUCUGUUGGCUUGUUGAAUGUGUACAUGUAUGCUCUGUUGGCUUGUUGAAUGUGUACAUGUAUGCUCUGUUGGCUUGUUGAAUGUGUACAUGUAUGCUCUGUUGGCUUGUUGAAUGUGUACAUGUAUGCUCUGUUGGGUUGCUGAAUGCUUACAUAUAUGCUCUGUUGGGUUGCUGAAUGCGUACAUAUAUAUUUAAGUGACUCUAAACAAAUAGAAUUUAGAUUUAUUUUGCAAUUUGUAUUUUUUAAUUUAAACCUAAAAGUUUGGAGUUAUUUGUGCAAUUUAAGUAAACUUAUUAAACUAACAACAUCUAACAAAUGAACAGGUAACAAUACAUAUUAUGGACAAAACUUGGAUAUUCUGUGAUAGAUUGUCUGAUGAGUAUAGUGAUGGGGUUGAUGAUUUAAAUGCUUUUUCAAACCCGUGAACAUGAUGCACCCGAGAGAUGCAAGAUAUGAAAAUGUUACUACAGCAAGCAUUGAAACAUUUGUUAAGAAAGGAACUUUAUGAAAAUAAGCCUUAACAAUCAUUAGAUACUCGCCUUCAGGAAUCAAUUCAUCUGUAAUAACAAUUUUCAAAAAGCAUGAACUGCUUUAAGCUCCUCAACAUCACAGAGAUCUUCAAUUAAAAUAGAGCAGAUCCGGCCAUCACUAUUCCUUCUACUGAUCUUUUGCUUUAGAGAACACUUGAAUUGCAAAAUGCGUGUAAGUACUCUGAAUGAAUGUGCAAUUGCACGAGCUGGUGACAACUGACUUUACUGCAAGGCUCUUUCAAACCCUUGGAGAUGAUACGCUACAUAACAUGAUAGCCGGAUAACACAAAGAAACACAAUGAAUAUUAAAGGAUAUUCUCACAAUGCAAAUUUGUGAAAAUUAUCAAGUGUGGUUACCUGCAUAAUAGUGUCAACUCCAAAUUCCUGCCUCCAUUGACGCAUAUGAUAAUAUUAGCACAAUUCAAUAUGUUUAUAUAGGAUAAAUGAUUCUAAGAAUGAAGCAAGAUAGAAGUGAUGAUCUCAGCACCUUAACAUCAUGCAAUAAUAAUCAUCAUAUCUUUCAGUUAGCUAUCCAUCCUCAAUUGAAACAGAGCAGACCCGGCCAUCGCUUCCUUCUUCAAAGUCCAGGAACCAAACGUUGCACAAUAACCAUCGUGAUAAUCCUUGGUUACCCCAAUGUUCUCCGUAGAGUCUUCAAAGUCAACCUAAAAAUGAAAUAAAAAUGCAGUGCAUGUGGAAAUGAAAAUUCUAUAAAUUAAAUUAAAAAAAAAUGCAAUGCUUGAGCUUGAGCUUGCUUUAACACCAUCAUAAUAGCGAACUUUGAUAUAUCUUUACUUCUCUGUGGUUCAAUUAUUUUCUUCUCUGUUCUUGUUUAUUCACAACAAGAUAUCAAUAGAAGAAGAUGGAAAUGAAAUUCUAUAAAAUAAAGCAAGUGAAUUACCAACAGAACAUUUUAGCAAUCCUUUGGCUAAACUUUUCAUUUUCUUAGCAUACUCUCCUGCCUGCAUCAUUAAAACCAAAUUAGAUUGGACCUGUGAAUUGCUGGUGUGGUUCUGACAUUUCCUCGAAUCCCUGGUGAACAUAAUUAAACUCGUAUGAAAUAAAACAAAGUGGGCUAAUGUACUACAAAAAACAAUUACACAAUUACUUUAAAGAAUUAAUGUCACAUAAAUUAUAUAUAAAAAAAUACGAUUAUCAUUAUACAAGAUAAAAUUGAUAAUUUAUUUUUCAACAUUACUGCAAAUGUAUCACAGAGAUUUUGUCUCUCAGGAAGUUACACAUAACAAAUUUUCGUACAUUAAAAAAUAAAUUGCAUCGGGAUUUUCUAUGAUAUUGUGUGAAAUUUUACAAAAGAGCACAUAUUUUUUAAAAGUAAAUAAAUAUAGAAAUUUAAACAGACUACACUUGUUUUUUUUAUUAUUUAAUCUUUAGAAAACAAGUUUAACAGAUUUGAUAACUAGGAAGUUUUACAUAUUUAUACGAUGAUUGAUUUUAUAUAGAAUUUUAAUUCAAAAUAUAAUUAUUUUUAUUAAUUUCAUUGCAAGCAACUACGAAGUAAAUCAGAGAAGGAGGAGAAAUUACCAGCGAGUGACAUCUUACGCCGACCACUUGAUGUGGGCAAUGUGAGAUAUCAUAUGCCAGUCUUCUCCUUUCCCCUCUCUAUAACGGUUUUCCAAAAGGGGACAUCCCCAAAUUGUCAAUUUCUGCAGCGUCGUUGUCCGAAGGAGGUAAUCCGGCAGCACCUUUAAUUUGGGGCAAUACCAAAUUCGCAAGGAAGAAAGACGUGGUAUGUCUGUUGUCCUGUGAUCUUCUAGAAUGGGCAGUUCUUCCAUAUUUUCACAAAAAAAAAUCCUCAGGUUCUGCAGCGCCGUCGUUUGAAGAAGGUAAUCCGGCAGCGCCUUUAAUUUGAAGCAAGAAUCAAUUCGCAAGGAAGAAAGACGGGGCAUGAUGGAGACGUUUUCCUUCCUCGUAAUCCUGUAAUUCCACUCUUCCAGUUCAUCCAAUCCCUUAAUUUCCAGUGAUUUCAAUUUGGGGAAGGCAGUAACUGAUGAUGACGAUGAAGAUGAAGAUGGGUCGUCCUCACUGCUUUCUUCUAUUCCCAAAAACUCAUUACCCAAUCUUUUUACACUUUUCAAGUUCCCUAGUUCGAGUUUUUCCAGAGCCAAUUUUCCCAAAGGAGGCAAAUGCUCACAGUCAACGCACGAGACAAGUCUUAAUUCCCUUAGAUUGGUUAGUGAAGUCAACCAUUUGGGAAAAAUGUUGCCUCCAUAGAAUACAAUCCCGAAUUCCUCUAAAUUCAAAGGCGGUUGUAAGGCUUCAAGAAGUUGUUUAUCUUUCUCGUUCUUCCUCCUCCCUUCUUCGCCUUCCCCAUCUACGACUCUACCAAACUCAAGAUGCAAACGAAGGAGGUUUUUCUUAUUGUAAAGUUGCGACCUCUCAGCCUCAUCUAAAUGUGACACAUUACUCAGCCCUUCUAUACUACAUUUACCACGGAGUUGAAGAUUUUUCAGAGAUUCAAGCCUACACGUAUUGCUACCAUCAACACCUCCACCCACCACAAACCUGUCUAAUGUUCGAAGGCUGGUUAAUUUGGAAAUCCCUAUUGGCAUGUACUUCAACGAAUAAGUUUCACCAUUCAGUAAACUCCUCAUGUUCAUUAACUUCCCAAUCCCCGCUGGCAAUUCUCUAAGAUUUCGGCACCGCCUAAUAUCUAGCUUUUGUAAAUUAUAUAAUUCACACAAAGUCUCAGGUAGUAUCUCUAUGCCGAUUUCAAUUUGGGGAAGGCAAUAACUGAUGGUGAUGAUGAAGAAGAAGACGGGCCAUCCUCACUGCUUUCUUCUAUUCCCAAAAACUCAUUACCCAAUCUUUUUACACUUUUCAAGUUCCCUAGUUCGAGUUUUUCCAGAGCCAAUUUUCCCAAAGGAGGCAAAUGCUCACAGUCAACGCACGAGACAAGUCUUAAUUCCCUUAGAUUGGUUAGUGAAGUCAACCAUUUGGGAAAAAUGUUGCCUCCAUAGAAUACAAUCCCGAAUUCCUCUAAAUUCAAAGGCGGUUGUAAGGCUUCAAGAAGUUGUUUAUCUUUCUCGUUCUUCCUCCUCCCUUCUUCGCCUUCCCCAUCUACGACUCUACCAAACUCAAGAUGCAAACGAAGGAGGUUUUUCUUAUUGUAAAGUUGCGACCUCUCAGCCUCAUCUAAAUGUGACACAUUACUCAGCCCUUCUAUACUACAUUUACCACGGAGUUGAAGAUUUUUCAGAGAUUCAAGCCUACACGUAUUGCUACCAUCAACACCUCCACCCACCACAAACCUGUCUAAUGUUCGAAGGCUGGUUAAUUUGGAAAUCCCUAUUGGCAUGUACUUCAACGAAUAAGUUUCACCAUUCAGUAAACUCCUCAUGUUCAUUAACUUCCCAAUCCCCGCUGGCAAUUCUCUAAGAUUUCGGCACCGCCUAAUAUCUAGCUUUUGUAAAUUAUAUAAUUCACACAAAGUCUCAGGUAGUAUCUCUAUGCCUAAUUCAGACAAAUUAAGAUAUUUUAAAUGUAUCAAUUUUCUGACAUUUUUUGGAAUUUCUCUAAUCGAAUUUGGGUCAAGAUGAAAAGGAUGAAAAUAUAGGGACGAUUGCCUUAUAACUAAUGCCCUUAAACACACCAAUUUACUAAAUAACUCUGAAAGGAUGCUACUAUUAAGAGAUGGAUUGAAACUACUUCUAUCAUAAAUUAAGAGGCUACGCAAUCUAUCAAGUCCACAAAUGGACAUAGGAAAUGAAUCUCCUCCUUCAAAAUUUAACCCUAAGUGACGGACUUUGACACCAGAAGGCUUUAUGAUUGAUUCUUUGUUAUCAUCAAUUUCUAGCCACAAACAUUCUUUUCUACUUACAAAUUGGGCAAAAUCAUGUACUAUGUCAUGCAUCUUGCAACUCCUAAUAUUAUCAUCAUCAUUUUUCUCAAACUCUUGAAAGAAAGAGCGUGUUGCUAAGAUGUUGAAAUACUCUUCUCCAAUCGUCUCCAUUUCUUUGUUUGCUUUUGCAUUAAGGUAAUCUUGAGCCAUCCACAGAUCAAUCAAUUCAUGUUUAUCCAUAUUAUAGUCUUUUGGAAAGACAGCACAAUAUGAGAAACACUGUUUUACCAUAGAAUUGGAGGGCAAAUCGUUAUAGCUCAACAACAAAGGAGCCAAAAGACCUUGCCCAAUCUCUUCUACUUCCCACAUUUCACUCUCUAAAAUACUUUCCCACUCUUCUACUGUACUUUUAGAGCGCAAGAGAUUCCCAAUUACCUUUGCAGCAAGAGGCAGGCCUUUGCAGUUGCGUGCAAUUUUUCGUCCAAUUGAUUCUAAUUUUUCACGAUCCUCGGAAGAACGAUCGAAAAAUACUAACCGCUCGAACAGCGACCAGCAUUCCUCUUCAGCCAAUUGUUCAAUGGAGAUAAUAUCUAACUCUGUUGUUCCCAUCAUACGUGCAACUGACACAUUACGUGUGGUAACCAAAAUUUUACCUCCGUGGAGAUCAUUCUUUAGACAACGGAAGAAUGGUUCCCAUUUAUUGCAAUUCCCAUCCCAUACAUCAUCUAAGACAAGAAAAAUCUUUUUUCCUCGAAUUGACCUAUGGAUAUGGUUCAUAAGAGAUUGGAAUUCGCUUAAACCAUAAGCUUCUUUUGACUCGCCUAGACCUUCAAUGAUUGCUUUGGCGACCCUAAUCUCCUCAAAAGUGUCUGAUACACACACCCAUAUAACUUUUUCAAAAUUUCUUUUCACCUCAUCAUUAUUAUAGGCUAGUUGUGCAAGAGUGGUUUUACCUAUACCCCCUAAGCCAACUAGUGAAAUGACAUGAAGGCCUUUUUGUUGUUCACUACUUUCACACAACUUGCUUAAGAGCUCAUUUUUCUCAUCAACUCUACCGCAAACCUCUCCCUCAUCAAUCAAGGAGAUGGUUCGCUCUCGCUCUGGUUUCUUAACACUGUUAAUCACAUUCUCAACAAAAUUAAACCUAUCUUUUCGAGCGGCAAUUUCAUCUAGCUUUUCACUGAUUUCUCUAAUCUUGACAGCAAUAUCAUGACGAAGACUGAGUUGUUUGAAACCACCAAAGCAGUUUGAGGCAGCAGGAAAGAAGUAACAUACCUUCGUCAAAAGAGUAACAAAAGCAUUGGCGUCAUCAUCAUCGCGACCCUCAUCAAGCUGCAAUUUCCGUGUUUCAGUGAUCCACUCAUCCAAAACAUCUUCCAUGUCGUAGGAUGCGUCUCUGAGCUGAUCCAGCCAAAGAGUAACAACUUUGUCCUGCUUCAUUUGCCUCUGCUCUGCAUCUUCCAGCACAGCUUGAAUGGCUCGAAGAUUUUUGGUAAGCUUUUCCACUUCUUGUUCGACACCCGUCACAAGCCUCCACUUUUCUUUCACCUGAUCCUGAGGAAUGGAUUUCAGCUGGUCCAAGAGAAAGGAAACGAUCGCAUGAGCCAUUCUGAUAUUAGAUCAAAUGGAAAAUGCAGCAAUUGCUUUUCUUGCUAAAAUGCUCAAAGGAAAGUAGCUUUUAUGUAUUCUGUGAGAAUGUUCAUUCAACCAUGUUUGCAUUCUUCUUAUACGUACAAUAGGAGAUAUUUAAUUUUUACCCUUGAGUCAAUGUCAAUGUGAACGUUCUUUUGUGCUGUAAAUUAAAGGAGUCCCCACAGGAGUUACCGUCUGGGGCUAGCUUUCUGCUCAACCACGUCAAUAAUUGUACAACAUCUGCCCUGUUUGUCCGAUUCAUAAUAAUUAUUCAGACUACUGAGCAUCUGCUCCACCACCUCAAUAAUUGUACAGCAUCUGCCCUGUUUUUAUGAUUCAUCCUCAUAAUAAUUAUUCAGACUACUCAGCAUCAGAACUUGUAAAAUUUCUUAUAUUAUAAGUAACAAAAUAUUUGUAAACUACGACAAAAAGGUUAUAAGUAACAAAAUAUUUGUAAACUACGACAAAAAGGUUAUAAGUAACAAAAUAUUUGUAAACUACGACAAAAAGGUUAUAAGUAACAAAAUAUUUGUAAACUACGACAAAAAGGUUAUAAGUAACAAAAUAUUUGUAAACUACGACAAAAAGGUUAUAAGUAACAAAAUAUUUGUAAACUACGACAAAAAGGUUAUAAGUAACAAAAUAUUUGUAAACUACGACAAAAAGCUUGGAGCAAUCUACUGAUGAACCUUCUGAAGUUAUAUGCAAUAGACUAAUUUGAUCUAGAAUAAUCUUAGAGUUGGAACAAUUUUAAAAUAAAUGAUGUCUUAUUAUAAAGACAUGUCUAAUUAAUUUUGCCAUAGAAGAGGUAUCUUUUGAUAUUUAAUAUAAAUAUCAUACUAUGGUCUAUGACUUACCCAUAUUACAAAAAAAAUAUAUGGAAGAUAAGUAAAGAAUAAAGCUUUCAACGACGACUUAUAAAAUUGCUUUUGAUAAAACUGUCCUGAUGAAAUGAAAUUAUUUGAAAUGACUAAGAAUUUAAUUAGCCUCUCAAAAAGGUCUAUUUAUUGCUUGACUUCUCGAGUUUAAAAUUCGAUUGUCAAAAUAGAUAAAAAGUAAAAAAAAAUUAUUUUGAGUUUUAUCCAUCCGUUUACCAUUUUAAUAUAUAAAACUCUCCUAUUGCUUUAAAGUGUCAUUUUUUUAUUUUAAACAAGUCUCAGCCAAAGAUUAAAUUGUCAUAUGUUCGCAAGAUAUUCAGCACAACAGUUGAGGGAAAUUUCUUCAUCCUUGAGCAGAAAAUACAAAGAACAACAUAGUUCGCAAUUUUUGUAGCAAAAAUAAUAUUUUGUUCCAUAUGGGGUAAAUCUUCACGAGGCCUAAGUUCAAACUUUAAAUGUUAGUUGGGGAUUAAUUUUAGACUGUUUUUUCUAUUUAUAGUUAUUAUGUAGUCGUUGGGAAUUUCGGAAUUUGAGAAUUUUGCUUGCAGCUACAGGCUGCAGCUAUUUUAUUUGGCGACUUUGAUUCAUAAUUGAAGUUACUGUCGCAAGUAAAACUUAAAAAAUAAUUAACAAAAUAAAAAUCAAAGACUUAGGCCCAAGUUUUUAUCAAAAUUUUAAUAAAAGGCUAUUCGUCAUUUUGUCAUAAUGAAAAAAUAAUUAACAAAAUAAAAAUUAAAAAAUCGAGUUACUUGAUUUUAUUUUACAAAAUUUUCUAUUAUAUGUAUAAAGUUUAUGAGUAAUGAUACAACCACAAACUCUUGUACAAACUUAUUUUGUACAAACUGACGUGGCAUUAAUUCAUUGGUUGAAUGAAAAUAUAAAUUAAUAAAAACAAAUCAUGUGGGCCAAGUGAUAUUUAAUUCAACCAAUCUUAUCAUGCCACAUCAGUUUGUACAAAAUAAGUUUGUACAAGAGUUUGUGGCUGUAUCAUUACUCAAAGUUUAUAUAUCAAGUGCUUUGGGGUCAAAUUAGUCUUUUUAUACCUAAUUUUUAAUAUUUCAAUUUGAAGCCUCAAAAUUUUUCAAAGCUACGGUCACGAUCCCCACUAGGAGUGGGCAAAUUUGUGUUCAGAUUAACUUGAUUCAGUUUCGGGUUGAUUAGGUUAGAAUAUUUAGAUUGGAUUGGAUUAGAUAAAAAAGUAUGAGAGAAAUUAAUUGAGCUUCUCCCAAAAAAAAUACAUACAGAUGAUUGAUAUAUAACCAUUAAAUAAUAAAUAUGUUAGACUUAUUUUAUUUUUGAGCCCUAAAGUAUGAGAGAAAUUAAUACUUUCCGAAUUUAUUUUUUGUACCGUAAAGAAUCAAAUUACUCACAAAAUUAUUUUUAACUUUCAUGAUGCAAACAAACAAAUCAUCAUUAACUUCAAUGAAAUAAGUAUUGAAGGUAGAAUUGAUUUCUGUAGCGGAAUAUGAUGUAUUUGGGACUUCCUACUCUAUUAGCUAGGUUAAUAACAUGUUAAUUGUCACAUCAUUAAUUUUAGAUUAUAAAUUGUAUAUUCAAACUUUGUAUGACUGCUCCUUUUUCAAUGAUCUAACUAAUUGAUCUUGUUUCAAAAGAAACAAAAAAUAAAAAUAAAAUUAAGUAAUGCCAUGAUCUAAUUGGUCUUGUUAUUUACAUGUACUAAUGCAUUCUAUAUUUCUAACUUUGUACAUUUCAUGUCGCAAAAUUUUAUUAAAGCUGGGAUUAUUUAUGUUCUAAUACUUUGAACAUUAAUUUUUAAUCUACUCUUUAGAAUACCAAAAUAAUCCUUACCUAAACAUCUUUCAUAAAUGUUUUUUGCUGGGGCUGCAAAAAUUCAUAAUCUAAUUCUAGUUGAUGUGCCUUAUGUUCCAUCACAUUAAUGUAGAUAAUAAUAAUAGUUAAUUCAUUAACAAAAUUCAUAAUCUAGUUUUAGCUGAUGUGGCAUGUGUGUCGUAUGACAUAACUGUAGAUAAUAAUAGCUAACACAUUAACGAAAAUGAAAAUACUAGUUCACAAAAUACAAAUCCGAAUUUUGUGUGUGAGGGAAUUUAAAAAGGAGAGACUAAAAAAAUGUGGUGACAGAUGACAUUUAUUACGAAAAUUGAAAAUACAAAGUUUAGGACGCAACUGAAAGCAUCUCUUCAAUUGCAUUCAACCAAUUACCACCAUUCAUAAUUAACCAAAAUCAAAUAAAUUAAAAAAAACACACACAAAACAACCACAACACACUAUUUGUUUUUAUCAUCCCUGCUUCUUUUUCUUAGCAUAGUGAUGGUUGUUGAAGCCAACAAAAAUAAAUAUCUACUCUCAAUAAAUUGCGUAUAGUGAUUGAGCAGGGUCGUGUCCACAAAGAUCGGUAAUUAUUUAAAUCAUUUUAAAAUGUAAAAUGCAAAAUAGGGGGAUUCUUGACAAUAAUAAAAAUCAAAUUAAAAUAACAAGAAUGCAAAUUCAAAUUGUAAUUCAAAUUGGGAAAAGCUCUGGUUGAAGGAAUUAACUCAGCUUGAUUCGACUACUUAUCAUUGAUUCAAAUAUAAAUCAUUACUACUUAUGAAUACACCGGUUAUAGCUACUGAGACCCUCUAAUAGCUAAUCUCUCCUUAACUAGUCGAUAACCAAGGUACGACCAUUGGUUAUUUCCCUAAUCAAUAGAUAACCCUAGCUACGAUCAUAGGGUUUAAUCAAUUGACAGCCUGAAAAACCAGAGAGACUCAAAUCCUAAUCAACAAACGCAUACGAUGGUUUAUUUAAAUUAGAUUGUUUAUUUUCAUAACACAACGCACUGCUAUGCUAUUUGUCACAAAUAUUAAAAUUUUCAUACAAUGAAUCUUUAAUUGACAAUAUAUUAAGUUGAUAAUUAAAUAGUGGUCAAUUAUCUAAUUAACAAACAUAAUCAUGACAAUAAUUUAGAGAAUAAACAAAUACCCAAAAAGCAAUAAAACAAUUAAAGCAUAAGAAAGAUCUCAUAGUAAUGAUGGAAAAGAAAAAUUUAGAUCUAGGGUUUCUUUUUCUUCUCCAAAAAUCUCCUCCCCCUCUGUUUUUCACGUCUCCUUUCUCUUAUAGAGUUUUCCCAAAAAUAAAAUACUAAUAUCUAAAAUAUCAUCUAAAUAUUAAAUUCAAAAUUACAAAAAUAACCAAAAAGACAAAACAUGUUAAAAUAAAAACUGUAGGUCCUUAGUUGACAGCACGCGCCUACGCCUUAUCAACAAAGUUUUUCUGAAGCUCAUAAUUUCUCCAGGAAAACAAUCAUCCUCAAACAUCAUCUUGUAGCUCAAUUUUAGCACCAAUCAAUAGAAGUGCACCUACAAAAAUAAAAUACAAGUAAAUAACUAUUAUUAAGUGCAAAAUAUCGAUAUUAAAGGAGGUAAACAAUGCAAAAUUAGUGCAUAAAUUACACUCUAACACAUAGCUCUUGGAAUAAAAAUGAACAAAAAGUGCCAAAAUGGACGCAUUAAACACAGCGUUGAAGCACCAACCCCAAAUCCCAGAGCAACCAAAACCUGUGAAAUGAUAAUACAGCAUAAAAACCGAAACAACAAAACCAAACACAAACUGAACAAUCUGACAAUCAGUGACCAAUCUCUUCCACUUUGGCCGCAACCCCAUCACACACAACAGAUAGUACCCGUACAUGAUCACAUGCACACUUGCAUUGGUGACAAGUGCAAUAGGAAACAAAGACUGCUUCGUCUGUAACCAAAGGAAGUACAUUACAACGACGGUUGCAUGGUGGUAGAAGUGGAGGAACGUCAGCCGUUGGAUGGAAUUUGACAAAAUGAUCAAAAUGUGGAGGAACGUGAGCCAUUGGACGGAGUUUGACAAAAUGAUCAAAAGGGUGUCUAAGAAUUCGAGUAUUUUGGAGAGGUAGAAGAUGUAAGCGUAGAAGAAGAGAGGGCCAGACGGAGAAAUGGUAGGGGGGAUGGAGGAUGAUGGAGAGCGUGCAACCAACGGCCAUGAUGAGGGAGAGGAGGAGGGUGAGGUUAUGGACGGCUGUGAUGGGCUUGAGGAUGUGGGGUCCAAUGAGAGGUAGUGAUGGUGGCGAUGUUGAUGUUGAUGCGUGGUAGAGGAUGAAUGUGAGGGAGAGGUAAGUGAGGAUGGAGAGAAUGAGGAAGUGUGGGGAGGAAGCUAGUGUUUGGUUCUGAGUCCAUGUGAGCUUGAGGAUUUGGGGGUGGUUUACAAGCCAAUAUUGGAGUGUUGAGGUAAUUGAAUAUGAAGCCAUGGCUGGUUUUUGGGAGGAGAUAGAUUUGGAAGAGAUGACGUUGAGAGGAACGGGUGAGUUUAUAAAGUUUUGGGAUAAUGUGGAGGGUAUUUUGGACAUAUUGUUGUCUUAGCUUAAAUUUUGGAACAAGAUAAUCAAUAAUAAACUUUUUUUUUCAUAUCAAUUUAAAACUCCGAGUGCGUUUUCAAAAAUUGUUUUCCUUUUUCCAUUUCUGGAUUUUAAAUUGUAAAUUUAUUAAAGGAAGUUAAAUCAAGUGAUCACUUUUUUUUUUCUUGUAAAGCAAUUAAUCUAUUUUGUGAUUUAAGCAAAUAUUGAGUUGCGUACUUUAACGAUAUUAAUAUUUGAUUAGAAAUUUCAUCUACCGAAACUACAAAAGUUAAUAUUUUUUAUUAAAUCAAAACUAAAAUUAAGAGAUGACUUAUUGUCUGCCAACUGUCAUUAAACGAAGCAAUCACUCACGCACGAAAACUGGACUAAAAAUAGUUCUGUUCCAUGUAAACGUAAUUGUAUAUUCUCAACCUUAUUUAACUGACUUGAUUUUACUAACAUAAUUUUCUCCCAUUUCCAUAUUGUCGACGUUGAGUGCAUGUAAUCCACAAGUUUGAUUGAGCAGAAAAUAGCCAAAAGUCUAAGGCCUCGACGCCGUACCUCAAACCCAUCCCCUUUUACCAUAUUUUAUAAUGGAUUUUGCUAUGUUACAUUGAAUGUACCAUACACAACCCACAAGAACCACAUAAAUUAUGGGACCCACAUAAUUAUGUGGUUCUUAUUGGUUGUGUAUGGUACAUUCAAUGUAACAUAGCAAAAUCCAUUAUAAAAUAUGGUAAAAGGGGAUGGGUUUGAGGUACGGCGUCGAGGCCUUAGACUUUUGGCUAUUUUCUGCUCAAUCAAACUUGUGGAUUACAUGCACUCAACGUCGACAAUAUGGAAAUGGGAGAAAAUUAUGUUAGUAAAAUCAAGUCAGUUAAAUAAGGUUGAGAAUAUACAAUUACGUUUACAUGGAACAGAACUAUUUUUAGUCCAAUUUCAUGUUUGGAUGUUGAGGUUGAUGUGGAAAGGAGGGUACAUAAAUACAAAAAAUUUAUCUCAAAUAACUCAAAUAAUUAAUUUUUUAUUAGUUUAGUAAUGAGAACUUUCGUUAUAUUUUAAAAGUAUAAUUCAAUACAAAAAAAAACUUAAUAAAAAUAACUGUUAUUUAACAUAUUAUACUUUUUCAAUAAUAAAAUAAUUCAAAAUUUAAUUAUUAUAACAAUAAAAUUUGUAAUUAUAUAAGCCAAUCAUGUACUACAUCCAUUCAUCACAUAAAAUAUAAAAUAGUACUGAAUAUAAUCUUGUUACGAAUAUUCUUAUAAUAUCUAUCACAUCAUAUACUAUCAUAUCCCAUCUGGCAUGCCAAACGUGCAAAGUUUGAGUAAGAUUUGUUAAAGUUGAGCAACAUCUUGUAUGGUCAAGCACGUCGAGUAUGGACUUGCAUGAUUGAGUAAGUACAACUAAAGUCAGAUAGAGUAUGGUAAAUCCCUAUAUAGUGUUGAGGUUGGACAACUAUACCUUUUAAGUAAAAAAUUAAACAGUUUUGGUAAACAUUUGCUAUUGUGACUUAAAAAUUAAUUUGAUUUAAUCUCAUACUUUAUUGUAAAAAAAAACUUAUAAUAUCUUUAUUAAUUUUAUUAAAAUUAUUAUUUAAAAGUCAUACAUUUACCACACAUUGUCAACUUUCGGUUUUUUUUUUCCACAACAGCUAGUAAUAUCAAACAAGACCUAAGUUGAGUAUGACCAAUUAAUUAAAGUUAUGAUUUUUUUUUGUAUAAAAUAAUCAUUAGAUAAUUAGUCUGUAAAGAAUAUCGGCUACUUCAAAUGGAAACUUGCGAUCAAAACUGUAUCACAGAAGUGACAAAGACACAUUAUAUGAGAAAUCUGAAAUAGAAUUUGCAAAAUUGAACUGGGUUACAGAGAGUUAAUAAGACUCCAAAGGAACAUGGCAAUUAUUAUUAUCUAGGAAACAAUUCAUAGCGAAAACAAAAUUAACUUUUCUAACUCACUAGAAUUUAACUGGAGAAAAAUUGGAAUAUAGGACGUUGUAUCACAUAUGGUAUUUAGACAUCAAGAAAAGAAUCCCUCUAUCUGUGAACUAUACUUGCCAGGGAACACCAGGCGAAUACCACCACCAUUCUACUAGUUCCUAGGUGUCUUAGAGUUUGAUGAGGACUUCCAUGCUGUGUCUCUUCGACAGGCAGCAAGAUUGGGCAAUUGACUGCAUUAACUCCAACAAAUUUAUGCAGUCUACUUCCUCCGGACUAUCCUCUCCCUUUCCCCUUCAAUAAAGUCAACAUUAUCUUGUUUGACACCAAGGAGCCCAAGCCCAGAAACAAUGGCAUUCUUUGGUAUCAACCACCUGGGGACUUUUGAGCUGAGCCAUGACAUCCUGAGAUGGCCUGUUGUGUAAGCCUUCUUCAAAAGGUCAUUCGUUGAUCUUUCUCCUAAUUAGACAUUCAAAAUCCUGCAUGGAAUCCAUUUGAGAAGUUUUGACAAUAGACAUACUCCAACACAUAUAGACAGUAAAGAAGAAUUUAGAGCACAAUCACUGUGGCUGAACAAAUGGGCCUAUUAAGCCUAUUAAAAGUUGGAACCAUAUUCACCACUCGCAUUUCCUGAGAGAACUAUAUCCGAAUUCUGUAAAUUUAAAACUAUUCUUACAUAUUUAACUGUAAAACAAGAGAAAUGUACUUCCGUAGCAAAGUCUCACUAUUGGUGAGUAUCUGGACUUGGAAUGGAUGCUAGUUGAUUAAGUGAAGGAAAAUUGAAAUCAGACUUUGAGGUGAUAGAUCUAUACACUUCAAUGGGAACCACAUUAACAUCACAUGAGCCAAACAAACAAAUUCCCCAGUCAAAGUUCAACAAACAAAACAUUAAAACAAGAGUAAUUUGGUGUAUCAAUGUAUACGUAGAGAUGUCGAUCAAUUGACAAAUACGUAAAAGAGGGAGGGAGAGACCUCAAAGCCGUGCUUAACAACAUUGCUACUCCAAUAACUUCAAAAUGGUUGGCGACGUCUCUAUCAAAUCCACACAAUAGCUGAUAUCUCAUGUUUGCAUGUAGUCCAAUGAAAGCAGAAGCACCAUAACCAAGCACAUUAGUACUCACAGGUGGGUUUGUCACAGAUAACCUGUCGGGCAUUAAAAAUUGCCCAAAUUAAACAAAUGUUAGACCGGCUUAGACAGUAAACGGAACAAUAUUCUAAUUUUACUUUAUUUAUAACGAAUAAGAGAACAAAGGAAUGAAAGGGAAGUUUGGCAACAGUCUUUUUACCAGCCAGAUAGUUUGACAAAGAAUCUUGCACUGCUCCUGCAGCUAAUCCCACCAUACACAACUCUGUUCAAAUAUACUGUUUGGGAGCUUUUGUAAUGUAUUUUGCAAGUCAAACAGGAAGGUAUUUCCAUAAGAAGGUUCACUUCACAUGCUCAACAAUUCAAAUUUGCAGAUGAUAUUUCUCAAAAUGAAGGGCUCUAUUUGGCUUGCCAACAAUCUUCCUCNNNNNNNNNNNNNNNNNNNNNNNNNNNNNNNNNNNNNNNNNNNNNNNNNNNNNNNNNNNNNNNNNNNNNNNNNNNNNNNNNNNNNNNNNNNNNNNNNNNNNNNNNNNNNNNNNNNNNNNNNNNNNNNNNNNNNNNNNNNNNNNNNNNNNNNNNNNNNNNNNNNNNNNNNNNNNNNNNNNNNNNNNNNNNNNNNNNNNNNNNNNNNNNNNNNNNNNNNNNNNNNNNNNNNNNNNNNNNNNNNNNNNNNNNNNNNNNNNNNNNNNNNNNNNNNNNNNNNNNNNNNNNNNNNNNNNNNNNNNNNNNNNNNNNNNNNNNNNNNNNNNNNNNNNNNNNNNNNNNNNNNNNNNNNNNNNNNNNNNNNNNNNNNNNNNNNNNNNNNNNNNNNNNNNNNNNNNNNNNNNNNNNNNNNNNNNNNNNNNNNNNNNNNNNNNNNNNNNNNNNNNNNNNNNNNNNNNNNNNNNNNNNNNNNNNNNNNNNNNNNNNNNNNNNNNNNNNNNNNNNNNNNNNNNNNNNNNNNNNNNNNNNNNNNNNNNNNNNNNNNNNNNNNNNNNNNNNNNNNNNNNNNNNNNNNNNNNNNNNNNNNNNNNNNNNNNNNNNNNNNNNNNNNNNNNNNNNNNNNNNNNNNNNNNNNNNNNNNNNNNNNNNNNNNNNNNNNNNNNNNNNNNNNNNNNNNNNNNNNNNNNNNNNNNNNNNNNNNNNNNNNNNNNNNNNNNNNNNNNNNNNNNNNNNNNNNNNNNNNNNNNNNNNNNNNNNNNNNNNNNNNNNNNNNNNNNNNNNNNNNNNNNNNNNNNNNNNNNNNNNNNNNNNNNNNNNNNNNNNNNNNNNNNNNNNNNNNNNNNNNNNNNNNNNNNNNNNNNNNNNNNNNNNNNNNNNNNNNNNNNNNNNNNNNNNNNNNNNNNNNNNNNNNNNNNNNNNNNNNNNNNNNNNNNNNNNNNNNNNNNNNNNNNNNNNNNNNNNNNNNNNNNNNNNNNNNNNNNNNNNNNNNNNNNNNNNNNNNNNNNNNNNNNNNNNNNNNNNNNNNNNNNNNNNNNNNNNNNNNNNNNNNNNNNNNNNNNNNNNNNNNNNNNNNNNNNNNNNNNNNNNNNNNNNNNNNNNNNNNNNNNNNNNNNNNNNNNNNNNNNNNNNNNNNNNNNNNNNNNNNNNNNNNNNNNNNNNNNNNNNNNNNNNNNNNNNNNNNNNGAAAUGUGUGAGUGUGAAUUCGAACGAAUUAAUCAAAUAUGAUGACACGAGAAACAAAAUUAAAAUAACCACAAGAAGUAGAAAUAUACUUUUGUUAUAUUUAGUGCAUCUUCUGUGUGUGCUCAAACGCAAUGCCUCAAGGCGCAAGAUAAUUUUAUGACCGUCAAUCUUUUGCAGCCAUAUGCAGACUUGAAACAUUGGCGGUGGUUCUAAGGAACUUGAAAAUUAGAAAAGUUUCAAAAUGAGUGACUAAAUAUGAUAAUCGAAACUAAUUAAAUAUACAUGCCUUGUAAAUAUGAAGCUAAAUUACUCAAAUGUAUGUGCCUCUUCGCAGCAAUUGCUCGUGGUGGAAACUUUACUGCAAAGACUUCCUCAAACCCUUGAAGAUCACACUCUUCCUGGCAACAAAGAAACAGAGACGAUAUACGAAGAUGAUUUUACUAACAAGUGAGAGCUUGCAAAUAUUGGAAGGAUAACGAUUGCUCAUAACCCGAAUCCCCAAUACCCUCUAAUAUCUCACUCGAGUGAGUUCAAGCUCCCAAAAUUCACUACAGUGAAACUCUCAAAACAAAAUUCUCUUCAAAUAUUCUCAACUCAAAUUUGAUGAUGACAUCUCUCGAAGGAAGGCAAAAAAUCUAACACUGAUCAAAUUGGCUUGUGAACAAUUAAUGUUCCUGGCCAUCAUUCAUACUAGGUGUGGCGAACAAUUAAGCUGCUUAGUAUCCUGAACCUGAUAACUUACACAAACAAAAACAACUUGCCUAAAGUUUAAUAUUUAGAGGCAGAACAGUAAAGAAGAAGAUAUAUAUUGAUACUAAAAUUUGACCUGCGUUACCCUGAUGUCAAGAAUAGCAGGAUCUCAUGUGGGCAAAAUCAUCGCAAUACGAGAUGCUUGCAAAAUUGAAGCAGCAUCUUAUCACCUGUAAUUUAAUUAAGAUAAUAACUUUCCCCGACUAUUUCAAUGCAUUAUUGGCAACUAAAUUCAGAGGGCGCUAAUUAAAUACCCUUUUAACAAUAUCUUCUUAUUCUUCUCUAAUCUAGCAGUUAUUUGGAAAAUCUAAAUGACAGUCAUGCAUCAAUGGCGUCAAAAUUUAGCUACAAAGCAGCCUAGAAAAGGCUUCACCCUCAGAAUGAGAGCAUGAAUUCGAAUAAUAUGAUGAAUGAAGAAACAAAGGCAUAAUACCACAAGAAGUCAAACUUUUCCCCAGAGCUCUGUUUCUGUUUGUGCUAAAGCAAAUGGAAACCAGUGGAAAUGAAUUUCUACGAACUAGACAUAUCAGCCAAAACAGGUACUCUGUACAAGCAAAGUAAAAGAGAGUUACAACAAAAUUUAAGAUUGAUAUGAUAAUUAAAAUUUCAGUCACCAUAUAAUUAAUAGAAAACUUUGUACACAAUGAUUUAUUGCAUAUUAAGAUUGGAUAGCUAAAUUUUAAUUGCUAUACAAAAUAUGAUAUUAGCAUUAGGAGACCGCACCAAAACGUACCGAAUUGAAUGUGCCUUUUCACAGCCAUUGUACAAGCUUUGAAGCUUUAGCACAAAUGCUUUUUCAAACCCAUGAACAUGAUGCACCCGAGAGAUGCAAGAUAUGAAAUUGUUACUACAACAGGCAUUGAAACAUUUGUUAAGAAAGGAAGUUUAUGAAAAUACGCCUUAACAAUCAUUAGAUACUCGUCUUCAGGAAUCAAUUCCUCUGUAAUAACAAUUUUCAAAAAGCAUCAACUGCUUUAAGCUCCUCAACAUCACAUAGAUCUUCAAUUAAAAUAGGGCAGAUCCGGCCAUCACUAUUCCUUCCACUGCUCUUUUGCUUUAGAGAACGCUUGAAUUACAGAAUGCGUGUAAGGCUCUCUUGUUCAAGGUCCAGCGAUCAAACCUUGCACAAUAACAACAGAGUUAGUAGUUCCAUCGCCAGCCUAAUCCUUGGACUCGCCAAUGUUCUCCAAUUAACAGAGGUAGUAGGAAAUCAACCAAAAAAUAAGAAUGAGUUUGAAAAACUGUUUAUGGCCCUAAAGAACUUGAAAAUCAGAAAUGAUCAAGAAUGAGUGACUAAACAUUUUAAUCGACUAAACAUACAAAACUUGAAAAACCUAAUAUUGAAGUACUCUGAAUGAACAUGCAAUUGCACGAGCUGGUGACAACUGACUUUACUGCAAACCCUUGGAGAUGAUACUCUACAUACCAUGAUAACCUGAUAGCUGAUAUCUCAUGUUUGCAUGUAGUCCAAUGAAAGCAGAAGCACCAUAACCAAGCACAUUAGUACUCACAGAUGGGUUUGCCACAGAUAACCUGUCAGGCAUUAAAAAUUGCCCAAAUUAAACAAAUGUUAGACCGGCUUAGACAGUAAACGGAACAAUAUUCUAAUUUUACUUUAUUUAUAACGAAUAAGUGAACAAAGGAAUGAAAAGGAAGUUUGGCAACAGUCUUUUUACCAGCCAGAUAGUUUGACAAAGAAUCUUGCACUGCUCCUGCAGCUAAUCCCACCAUACACAACUCUGUUCAAAUAUACUGUUUGGGAGCUUUUGUAAUGUAUUUUGCAAGUCAAACAGGAAGGUAUUUCCAUAAGAAGGUUCACUUCACAUGCUCAACAAUUCAAAUUUGCAGAUGAUAUUUCUCAAAAUGAAGGGCUCUAUUUGGCUUGCCAACAAUCUUCCUCACCGCUAUCAUCCUUGCUAUACCGGUUAAACUGAACAGUCUUCAUUCUGACAUUUGCCCUAUUAACCUGAGUACACAAGAAUCCGAAACAACUGUUAGAAAUUAUAAUCUUUAUAUAUAGCCAAAAUGUUGAAUAAGAUGAUGUACUUGAUAAUAAAUACCUGAGUUAAUAAAUAAUUAAGGGGCCGGUAACAAUCUCAGCAUCUUAUCAAGUGGGGAAAGCCUACGCAACGAAGAUGCUGCUUGCUUUCAAGCAGUAAUAACUUUCCAAUUCCAUAAGGUAGCUUAAUGCCCUUUUAAAAAUAUCUCCACCAGCCUAACAAUUAUUCAUGGAAAUUCAAUUUGCAUUUGUCGCCUUCAAUUUGCUCAUCUUUGUCCAGAGUAUUGUUUUUGCAUUUACUUAGCUAGCCUACAAGCCACCUGCAGAUGGUUUUAAAUAAUGUGUGAGAGUGUGAAUUCGAACGAAUUAAUCAAAUAUGAUGACACGAGAAACAAAAUUAAAAUAACCACAAGAAGUAGAAAUAUACUUUUGUUAUAUUUAGUGCAUCUUCUGUGUGUGCUCAAACGCAAUGCCUCAAGGCUCAAGAUAAUUUUAUGACCAUCAAUCUUUUGCCGCCAUAUGCAGACUUGAAACAUUGGCGGUGGUUCUAAGGAACUUGAAAAUUAGAAAAGUUUCAAAAUGAGUGACUAAAUAUGAUAAUCGAAACUAAUUAAAUAUACAUGCCUUGUAAAUAUGAAGCUAAAUUACUCAAAUGUAUGUGCCUCUUCGCAGCAAUUGCUCGUGGUGGAAACUUUACUGCAAAGACUUCCUCAAACCCUUGAAGAUCACACUCUUCCUGGCAACAAAGAAACAGAGACGAUAUACGAAGAUGAUUUUACUAACAAGUGAGAGCUUGCAAAUAUUGGAAGGAUAACGAUUGCUCAUAACCCGAAUCCCCAAUACCCUCUAAUAUCUCACUCGAGUGAGUUCAAGCUCCCAAAAUUCACUACAGUGAAACUCUCAAAACAAAAUUCUCUUCAAAUAUUCUCAACUCAAAUUUGAUGAUGACAUCUCUCGAAGGAAGGCAAAAAAUCUAACACUGAUCAAAUUGGCUUGUGAACAAUUAAUGUUCCUGGCCAUCAUUCAUACUAGGUGUGGCGAACAAUUAAGCUGCUUAGUAUCCUGAACCUGAUAACUUACACAAACAAAAACAACUUGCCUAAAGUUUAAUAUUUAGAGGCAGAACAGUAAAGAAGAAGAUAUAUAUUGAUACUAAAAUUUGACCUGCGUUACCCUGAUGUCAAGAAUAGCAGGAUCUCAUGUGGGCAAAAUCAUCGCAAUACGAGAUGCUUGCAAAAUUGAAGCAGCAUCUUAUCACCUGUAAUUUAAUUAAGAUAAUAACUUUCCCCGACUAUUUCAAUGCAUUAUUGGCAACUAAAUUCAGAGGGCGCUAAUUAAAUACCCUUUUAACAAUAUCUUCUUAUUCUUCUCUAAUCUAGCAGUUAUUUGGAAAAUCUAAAUGACAGUCAUGCAUCAAUGGCGUCAAAAUUUGGCUACAAAGCAGCCUAGAAAAGGCUUCACCCUCAGAAUGAGAGCAUGAAUUCGAAUAAUAUGAUGAAUGAAGAAACAAAGGCAUAAUACCACAAGAAGUCAAACUUUUCCCCAGAGCUCUGUUUCUGUUUGUGCUAAAGCAAAUGGAAACCAGUGGAAAUGAAUUUCUACGAACUAGACAUAUCAGCCAAAACAGGUACUCUGUACAAGCAAAGUAAAAGAGAGUUACAACAAAAUUUAAGAUUGAUAUGAUAAUUAAAAUUUCAGUCACCAUAUAAUUAAUAGAAAACUUUGUACACAAUGAUUUAUUGCAUAUUAAGAUUGGAUAGCUAAAUUUUAAUUGCUAUACAAAAUAUGAUAUUAGCAUUAGGAGACCGCACCAAAACGUACCGAAUUGAAUGUGCCUUUUCACAGCCAUUGUACAAGCUUUGAAGCUUUAGCACAAAUGCUUUUUCAAACCCAUGAACAUGAUGCACCCGAGAGAUGCAAGAUAUGAAAUUGUUACUACAACAGGCAUUGAAACAUUUGUUAAGAAAGGAAGUUUAUGAAAAUACGCCUUAACAAUCAUUAGAUACUCGUCUUCAGGAAUCAAUUCCUCUGUAAUAACAAUUUUCAAAAAGCAUCAACUGCUUUAAGCUCCUCAACAUCACAUAGAUCUUCAAUUAAAAUAGGGCAGAUCCGGCCAUCACUAUUCCUUCCACUGCUCUUUUGCUUUAGAGAACGCUUGAAUUACAGAAUGCGUGUAAGGCUCUCUUGUUCAAGGUCCAGCGAUCAAACCUUGCACAAUAACAACAGAGUUAGUAGUUCCAUCGCCAGCCUAAUCCUUGGACUCGCCAAUGUUCUCCAAUUAACAGAGGUAGUAGGAAAUCAACCAAAAAAUAAGAAUGAGUUUGAAAAACUGUUUAUGGCCCUAAAGAACUUGAAAAUCAGAAAUGAUCAAGAAUGAGUGACUAAACAUUUUAAUCGACUAAACAUACAAAACUUGAAAAACCUAAUAUUGAAGUACUCUGAAUGAACAUGCAAUUGCACGAGCUGGUGACAACUGACUUUACUGCAAACCCUUGGAGAUGAUACUCUACAUACCAUGAUAACC
Molecule: long non-coding RNA, 31611 nt
Filed under: Citrus sinensis (sweet orange)
Lineage: Eukaryota; Viridiplantae; Streptophyta; Magnoliopsida; Sapindales; Rutaceae
Description: long non-coding RNA (CSIN_LNC001077)
Source: RNAcentral